AACGAACGCUGGCGGCAGGCUUAACACAUGCAAGUCGAACGCACAAUUCGGGUUGUGUGGCAGACGGGUGGGUAACGCGUGGGAAUCUUAACUUCUCUACGGGAUAGCUCCGGGAAACUGGAAAUAAUACCGUAUACGUCCUGAGGGAGAAGGAUUAAUCGGGACAGGAUGAGCCCGCGUUGGAUUAGCUAGUUGGUGGGGUAAAGGCCUACCAAGGCGAGGAUCGAUAGCUGGUCUCAGAGGAUGAUCAGCCACAUCGGGGCUGAGACGCGGCUCAAACUCUUCCGGAAUGGAGGAGUGUGGGAUAUUGGACAAUGGGCUCAAUGCUGAUCCUGCCAGGCCGGGUAAGCGAUGAUGGCCGUAGGGUUGGUAAGUUCUAUCGGUGAGGACAAUAAUUACGGUACCCACAGAAGAAGGCGCGGCUAACUUCGUG
This 433-nucleotide ribosomal RNA is filed under the name uncultured bacterium. RNAcentral's name for it is "partial 16S ribosomal RNA". It matches the Rfam family "Bacterial small subunit ribosomal RNA", at positions 29 to 507 of the family's 1533-position model. The record is from RNAcentral.